GAUGAAGAACGUAGCGAAAUGCGAUAAGUAAUGUGAAUUGCAGAAUUCAGUGAAUCAUCGAAUCUUUGAACGCAUCUUGCGCUCCUUGGUAUUCUGAGGAGCAUGCCUGUUUGAGUGUCAUUAAAUUCUCAACUACACUGACUUUGAAUUGGUGUGGCUUGGAUUUGGGGGGAAAAUUGUUGUGGGCUUUUUGUAUAGUCUGCUCCCCUGAAAUUGAUUAGCGGUACCUUUGUGGAACUGUCUACAGGUGUGAUAAUUAUCUACAUCUUAGACAUCUGCUGGAAUGCUGCUUUCUAACCCUUACUUGUAUUGACAAUCUUGACCUCAAAUCAGGUAGGACUACCCGCUGAACUUAAGCAUAUCAAUAAGCGGAGGA
This 376-nucleotide unclassified non-coding RNA is filed under the name soil metagenome. Its description in RNAcentral is "partial contains 5.8S ribosomal RNA, internal transcribed spacer 2, and large subunit ribosomal RNA". The stretch from base 1 to 120 matches the Rfam family "5.8S ribosomal RNA", at positions 35 to 154 of the family's 154-position model. The record is from RNAcentral.